RNAcentral lists this ribosomal RNA (595 nucleotides) under Pseudomonas aeruginosa. RNAcentral describes it as "bacterial SSU rRNA". It matches the Rfam family "Bacterial small subunit ribosomal RNA", at positions 54 to 643 of the family's 1533-position model. The record is from RNAcentral. Lineage: Bacteria; Pseudomonadati; Pseudomonadota; Gammaproteobacteria; Pseudomonadales; Pseudomonadaceae.
CAUGCAGUCGAGCGGCAGCGGGUCCUUCGGGAUGCCGGCGAGCGGCGGACGGGUGAGUAAUGCCUAGGAAUCUGCCUGGUAGUGGGGGAUAACGUUCGGAAACGGGCGCUAAUACCGCAUACGUCCUACGGGAGAAAGUGGGGGAUCUUCGGACCUCACGCUAUCAGAUGAGCCUAGGUCGGAUUAGCUAGUUGGUGGGGUAAUGGCUCACCAAGGCGACGAUCCGUAACUGGUCUGAGAGGAUGAUCAGUCACACUGGAACUGAGACACGGUCCAGACUCCUACGGGAGGCAGCAGUGGGGAAUAUUGGACAAUGGGCGAAAGCCUGAUCCAGCCAUGCCGCGUGUGUGAAGAAGGUCUUCGGAUUGUAAAGCACUUUAAGUUGGGAGGAAGGGCAGUAAGUUAAUACCUUGCUGUUUUGACGUUACCNACAGAAUAAGCACCGGCUAACUUCGUGCCNGCAGCCGCGGUAAUACGAANGGGUGCAAGCGUUAAUCGGAAUUACUGGGCGUAAAGCGCGCGUAGGUGGNUNCAGCAAGUUGGAGGUGAAAUCCCCGGGCUCAACCUGGGAACUGCCUCCAAAACUACUGAGCUA